AAAAAAUAUGACAUGCAAUGACUUUGUCAUACAUGAUAGUGUAAAGCACAGGCUUUAAGUAGAAAGUGAUAGUACUUCUCUUGCCAGCUUUAAGUCCAUGAUAUAAGACACUGCCCUUUUAGGUUUUUUGGGUAAAUGAGACCGCACUUAUCUGUUCUUGUUUCUGGAUGUAGAAAACAAUUGCAUCUCCUGGCCGAGGUAUUUUGGCCAUGGAUGAGUCUAACGCUACCUGUGGAAAACGUCUCGCCUCAAUCGGGCUAGAGAACACCGAGGCUAACCGCCAGGCAUACCGUACCCUUCUUGUGACAGUCCCUGGCCUUGGUGAUUACGUCUCUGGUGCCAUCCUUUUUGAGGAGACUCUCUACCAAUCCACCACUGAUGGCAAGAAGAUGGUUGAUGUUCUUGUUGAGCAAAAGAUUGUUCCCGGCAUCAAAGUUGACAAGGUAAUACUCCGACACAUGUCUCCUAACAUUAAAUUUUCACGAAUUCAGAACUUUUUUUAUUGAAAUUAAACUCGUGCUUUAUUCUUGUCAUUGAGUUAACUAAAUUUGAUAGUAUAGGCAAAAGAGUAUACAUCUUAUUGUUUAUUGAACAAAAUUUUAGUAACUUACAGUUUGAAAAAUGAAAACAAUAGGGUUUGGUGCCUCUAGCUGGUUCCAAUGAUGAGUCAUGGUGCCAAGGUCUUGAUGGACUCGCCUCCCGCACAGCUGCUUACUACCAACAGGGAGCUCGUUUUGCCAAAUGGUAUGAAAUUUGUUCUCUAUGUUUCGCAAAAUGCCAACUUUCUGUAACCAUAUUUACUUUGCAACGUACGUAACUAAUUAACUAAAUGCUUACUUUCAUUGGUCAGGCGUACUGUUGUGAGCAUUCCCAACGGCCCAUCUGCCUUGGCAGUGAAGGAGGCUGCCUGGGGUCUUGCCCGCUAUGCUGCCAUUUCUCAAGUAUAGCACCCCAAACAAAUUGCUGUAUUGCUACCUGUUGUUUAUAAUCUCUACUUGCUGAUUAAGAUUUUGUUACUUGGAUCUUGUAGGACAAUGGAUUGGUCCCAAUUGUGGAGCCAGAAAUCUUGCUUGAUGGUGAGCAUGGCAUUGACAGGACUUUCGAAGUAGCCCAGAAGGUUUGGGCUGAGGUUUUCUUCUACAUGGCAGAGAACAAUGUCAUGUUUGAGGGUAUUCUUCUCAAGCCUAGUAUGGUCACUCCUGGUGCUGAAUGCAAGGACAGGGCCACCCCUGAACAAGUUGCUGAGUACACACUCAAGCUCCUUCAGAGGAGAAUCCCCCCAUCCGUCCCUGGAAUCAUGGCAAGUUGCAUUUCAACUUUCAUUCACAGUUUUACUUCUUUUUUUGCAUGAAGUGUUAAAAUUUCGGCUUAUCAAGAUUAACAUGCUUUAGGCAGGACGGCUUCUUUAGCAAUAAUAGUGAAACAUGUACUGAUCAUGGAUUAUUUUUUGAGCAGUUUUUGUCUGGUGGGCAAUCCGAGGUUGAAGCAACCCUGAACCUCAACGCAAUGAACCAGUCUGCAAACCCAUGGCACGUGUCUUUCUCAUAUGCUAGAGCUCUCCAGAACACUUGCUUGAAGACAUGGGGAGGCAGGCCAGAGAACGUGAAUGCAGCUCAGGAAGCACUUCUCAUCCGUGCCAAGGCCAACUCUCUUGCUCAGCUUGGCAAGUACACCGGUGAGGGAGAGUCAGAUGAAGCCAAGAAAGGAAUGUUCGUCAAGAACUACGCCUACUAAGCUCUGUUGUGAUUGAAAUCUAUAGAUGAAGAAGAUGGGGAUCCGAGGGAGCAACUGCAACACUAAUUUAUCUAAAUGUUUAAAAGAUUUUAUAGCCAUGGAGACUAUUUUUGUUCUUUGUUACAUGCACUUUUUAGUCACAUAAUAAACCUCUUUGCCAAUGAGAUUUGGUAUGCAUUAAGCACUGAAAUGCUUUGAUCUGCAACUUCAAAUCCUAAUAUGGGUCCUGAUUAGAAAAAAAAAAUCAACUCUAGUUGAUACAUUGAAAAUGUUCAUGAUUCCAGACUAGGAGAAGAAUCUAUCAUCCAAGCAGGCUAAACUAAGACCUAUGUGACCACCAUAAAAAAACUCGAGAUGUUAGGCAAAUUGAAACGUUAUGUCUGUUCAGAUCUACCCAUUUUUUGGAACCUGGAAUUAGUAAGCUACAACAAUUGCUGGCGAUGGCAUAGGCCAGCCAGCCACAUGGAAUGGAGAGCAACAACCUUGGCCACUAAAACAAAAGGCAACUUUCAGGGGUUUAGCUCAACUGGUCAGGUCUUGGGUUUGCUCCCCAAUAAUCACGAGUUCAAGUCCUCUCAGGGCCACUAGAGAUUUACAUGGUCGUUAACUUCAAGGGCCGUGUGAUUAGUCGAGAUGCGCGCAAGUUGACUCGGAGACCUACGUUAAUAAAAAAACAAAAAAAAAAAGGCCCAACAACCUUAAAUAAGGGUCGUAUAUAAGGCUGUGACCAAAAUGAGACGGAGGUACCAAAUUAAUUGAUUUUUAGAAAAAUUUCAAUUUGAUUUUUGAACUUCUAUUUUGAAUAAUUUAGCCUUUUGAGUUCAAAUUAGCACCUAAAUGUAUUUUUUUUUAAGAGGGAGGGUUGAAUUAAAAGAAAAGGACUAAAGUGAAAGCAAGUAAAAUAAGUGGCGGAUUUGAAAUUUGUCUAAAAAGUUCAUUUUAGCCCCCCAUCUUUUUUAGCUCUUCCAUAACCGGUCCUUUUAAUUUUUUAAAAUUCAAUUUUGUUCAUUUUCCUUAUUUUUUUUAGUCCUUUUUUUAUGGGAGGAGAGAAAGGGACUCGCCGGAUCAGGCGUAGAGAGAGAAAAUUGUCUUUAAUGAUAAUUAUGGCCACUAAAACAGUCGAUUUUUGUGUUAAAUGAUUCUAUAUAAUGAGAGAAGUUCGAGUUCGGUGUUUUUACCUUAAAAGUGCCUAAAUAAACAGAUCUAAGCUUGAAAAGAUUUUUAGUUUUGGGUUGAUUUUGGGUUUUGAGUUUUUUUUUUUGUGUUUUUAUUUUGGGUUUUGAGUUUUUUUUUUUGUGUUUUUGAGGGCUAUAGAUUGGUUUAACAAGGCUUCUAGGUUGUUUUCUAGGUGUUUUAGGUUAAAAAACAUGAACCUUGUUUUAAGUGAGUUGCGUCAUGGUUCUCCUUUUUUUCUCAAGAGAAAGUUUGACUGAGAGGUCUUUUAAGUGGGAUCGCUCACCUAUAAGGGACAAUAACCUUAGAAAAAAUCAAAAUAGACAGAUCAAGGAACGCCCGAACUAUCCUAAAAUGCAUACUUUUCCACUAAAUACUAGUCUCUUUAAAAUCCGUAUCGCCAUCCAAAGUAAAGAGUUUGUCUAAUUCCCUCUUCCUCCCAUGAAAUCGCCACCCAAUACUCGUACAUUUAAUAAGAAUUGUUUAUUUCAUAAAGAUAAAAGACACGACACAAAUGAGUGUUACGCCUUGAAAAAGAAAAUUGAAAGAUUGAUAACCAAGGGCUAUCUUCAUCAGUUUUUGAAGAAGGAUUCCCAUCCCAAGCUAAAAAAGGAAGUGCUUAGUCAAUCCAUGAUGGCACUACUUGAAAUCAACAUGAUCUUAGGUGGAACCCCUUCGGAAGGUGAUUCUAGCACUAGGAAAAGAAAGUAUAGGAAGGAAGUACUUACAACUACUCUUCUUGUAAAACAAUGGCAUGAGCCCAUCGUCUUUACCCUAGAAGAUAGAGUGGGAAUAACUUUCCCGUAUGAAAUGACAUGUUCAUCUUUACAAUCCUUUUUAACCAUCGAGUAUAUCAAGUGUUGGUGGAUAAUGACAAUGCAAUCAAUAUCCUCUUCCACAAAGUAAUGGCCCGGAUGGGGAUAUCCCACACAAGACUGAUCCUAAUAAAAACUCAUCUUAUUAAGAUAGAAGGUUCAAGCGUAUCGAUGAAGGGCACCCUAAAACUCUCAGUCACCAUUAGCAUUCCCUCUAAGCGAGUCUCCCCCCAGCAAACCUUUAUGGUUUUUGACAUGACCUUGGCCUACAAUGCCAUUUUAGAUAGACCUCUUUUGCAUUAGAUUAAUGCAGUCGUUAGCACUAGGUACUUGACACUGAAAUUCCAAACUCUGAAAGGAGUGUCCACAGUGAAGGAGAAUCAAGUAACCUUAAGGCAAUGUGCCUCUACUUAUCUGAAGGGAAAAAAAGGCCUUGGUAUUGAACCAACAAGGGUUAUUGAAAGAAAAAGUGGAGGUCAGAGCUAAAAUUAAUGAAAAACUGAAGGCAUAUCCUUUUGAGAGAAAAUGACUAAGUCGUCAUGAAAGUGGAUUUAACCUUAACACUAACACAAUAACAGUCACUGACAUAGCUCUUCUAUAUCUAAAGGUUUAAUUUUAUGAUAAAAACCUCUGACAUGCCAGGAACCAGUCCUGAAAUUGCAACUUAUCAGUUGAAGAAUAACCUAACUGUUCAUCCAGUCCACUAGAAAAGGAGGUGUUUCAGGGGUGAAAGGUAGAAAUUAAUAGCACAAGAGGUAGAUAAGCUCCUAGAUGUUGGCUUUAUUAUGGAAGUGAUGUAUCCUGUUUGGUUAGCAAAUAUGGUAAUGGUUCAGAAAAGCAAUAGUAAGUAGUAGAUGUGUGUGAACUUCAUAGAUUUGAAUAAAAAUUACAUAAAUGAUAGUUAUCCUCUCCUCAAUAUUGACCAUUUAGUUGACUCCACUACAAGUUUUAAAUAUCUGAGCUUUUUAAAUGCCAAUUUUGGAUAUUAUCAAAUCCUCAUGCACCUAGAUGAUAAGGAAAAAACAACUUUUAUAUCUGAGAGGGGAAAUUUUUGUUAUAGAGCAAUGUCAUUCGGGUUUAAGAAUGCUGGAGCUACUUACUAAUGAAUGGUUAAUGAAAUAUUCAAGAAUUAACUUAGAAGGGUUAUGGAGGGAUAUGUUGAUAACAUAAUAAAACUAAAUCCUUUCAAGUGUCUUUUCCAUCAAAAGAGGAAAGUUUUUGGGUUUUCUAGUAAGCGACAAGGGAAUCAAGCCUAAUUCAUAAAAGGUUCAAGCCAUUUUAAACAUGACUCAUCCUUGGUCAAUAAAGAAGUUUCAUUGUCUUAUAGAGAGAUUAAUUGCCCUUAAUUAGUUUAUAGCUCAUCUAGAAGGGCGCACUCUACCAUUUUUCAAGACCUUGAGAAACAUAACCAACUUUGAGUUGACUUCAGGUUGUCAGAAGGCUUUUAAAGAGUUUAAAAUUUAUCUUUCAUCUCCCAAGAUCCUGUCUCAACCAAGAAAGAGUGAAGACCUCUUUCUCUACAUAGGGAUGAUUGACUCAACAAUAAGCUUUGUUUUGGUAAGGGAGGAUGAAGGAAUAUAAUGUCCAAUUUAUUACUAUAGGCAAACUAUUCAUGAUGUUGAAAUGAGAUACUUGAAGUGGAGAAAGUGGCCCUUGCUCUGGUGAGCGUAAAUAGGAAGAUGAAAUCAUAUUUCAAAGCUUACCAAGUCAUAGUUUUGACAGAUCAACAUGAUGUAGUCGGGCCUGCGAUAACGAGUGAUUCUAAACCGUCAUGUGUGGGUCUAUCAUAACUAAAUAAAGAUUUAUCCUAGACAGAUUACGUAGAUGGCCUAAUAAAUACAUUUAUGGACCAAUAGGUAAGUCAAAACCCAAGAAGAGGUUUGGUCACACCAGAUCAGAAUAACAGCUCAAAAGGUCCACAACUUUUAAUUUAUCUAUUGGAUCGUGUUCAACUAUUUACAAAAGUUUACAAAGACUGUUUUCUCUAUAAUAUCCAUUGCAUUGCUACACGGACCAUUGGAUUUUUAGAUAUAAAAAAUCUCAUCAAAGCCCCUCAAUUUUGGAAGCUUUUGUGUUUUUCCUCUUUUUGUUUGGAUUUCUUACUUAUUUUGGAUUUUAUGUUUUUUUUCCUUUAUAAUUUCAGGUUUUUAUUUUUAUUUUCUAGUUGAAGUAAGGUUUCUGGACUAUUUAAGGGUUUAUAAACCUCCUAGUGAGGAAGACUUCAUUAUCAUUAUUUUUAAAGAGAAUAAACUUGCAAAUUUAAGGCUCACACUUGUAGUUUCUUUCACCCAUUUAAAAUAUUUUAUGUUCCUCAUUUAAUUACUUUCUUUAGCUUCUGUCUACAUCACAACGUGUGUGACAAAUCCUUCAUAAGCCAGAGAUAUCUAGAUAUCUAAUUAGAUGGCUAUUGAGUUAGGAGAGUUUAGACUUCAAUAUAGACCCUAACCAACUAUAAAAGGUCAAGCCUUGGUAGACUUCAUUAUUGAAUGCUUUUUUGAAGGUCUUAUAGAUACAUAUGAAUUUAUAUUUUCAAUCACAACUUCCUUAGCCAAACCAGAAGCUCUAGUAAAACAACCUCUGAUUUUCCCUACCUGGGGAUUAUAUGUUAAUGGCUCUUCCAACAUUAAUGGAAGUAAAGCUAGGAUAAUGCUUGUUAGUUAUGAAGAACAAGUACUGGAAUAUAAAGUUUGUUCUGAGUUCCUAACCAUAAAUAAUGUAUUAAAGUAUGAAGCUCUUCUAGCAAGAUUACACCUUGCAGGGCCCUUGAAUGCAUACCCAUUUAAAGUUCAUAGUGACUCUUAGUUAGUAGUUAGUCAAUGCCAAGAAGUAUAUAAAGCCAAAGAACCGAUCAUGCAACAAUAUCUUUAGAAGGUUCGAUCUUAUUUAAAAGCUGGAGAUAAAAGUAUUUUAAUCACUUAUAUUCUAAGGGAAGACAACCACCAGACAGAUCUUAUGUCUAAGUUAGCAAGUUUAAAUCUUAUAGACCUCUUUGUGGAUGUUUAGGUUGAAGCUGUAGAAAAAUUGAGUGUAGGUAAAAAAAUAUUUGUGGUUAUUCCCAUCAAUAAUAAGAAAGAUUGGAGAACCCUGAUCAUGCAUUAUCUACUUGUUGGAGAAUUACCCUCAACAGAAAUAUCGAAGAUCUACCUCAACUCCACUACUAAAAUAUUUAUCUCUAAAAGAAAGCACUUAUGUUUUAAGAAAGAUAUAUAAAGGUAUAUGUAGUCUACACACAGGCUCUAGAGAUCUUGCUGCUCAGACUAUACGAGCAGGUUUCUAUUGGCCGACCAUACUCUAUGAUGCCACCAAUUUGGUGAAGAAAUAUGAUCAAUGUUAGAGGUUUGCCUCGGUCUCUCGUCAGCCAUCUGUAUAGAUGGUCAAUAUAACCUCCCCUUGGUUUUUUGCUCAAUGAAAGAUGGAUAUCUUAGGUUUAUUGUAUAAAACUAUAAGCAAAAGACACUUUGUUCUAGUAGCUGUUGAUCAUUUUAUUAAAUGGGUUGAAGUAUAAGCCUUAGUAGAGAUUAUCACCAACAAAGUGCUUUCAUUCUUCUGGAAUAAUACCAUAUACUGAUUUGGACUUCCUAAAGUCUUAAUAAUUGAUAAUGAGACAUAGUUUUACAACCACACGAUGAAAAAGCAUUGUCAAAGGCUUCAUAUCGAUCAUAAGUUCUCCUCCGUAUCACAUUCUCAAAUCAACAGUCAAGUUGAACUGACUAAUAGAGUCUUGCUUAAUAGACUUAAUAAAAGAUAAAAGAAGCAAAGUCAUAAUGGACAGAACUAAUAAAUGAAAUUUUAUGGGUUUAUAGAACAACAUAGAAGACAUCCACUAGUGAAACCCUUUUUCUAAUCACGUAUAGGACUGAAGAUAUAAUCCUAGCAGAGAAUGGAUGUCUAAGCCAUUGGGUGGUUCAUUAUACCUCAGAAGACAAUGAACAAGGCUUUAGAACCAAUUUGGAUUUCUUAAAGGAAUCUCGUCUGACUGUUACUGUUAGAAAUAAAGCCUAUCAGCUCAAAACUACUCAUUAUCACAAUGCCAAGGUCAAGGAUAGAAGAUUCAAGUUUGGAUAUUUGGUCCUAAGAAAGUUGAAGGUUGUAGGCAAUAAAAAAAGUAAGGACAAACUUGUUGGUGGGAGAAACCACUGGUGGUGUAAUGCAACAAAGCUGGCAUCGAAGUAAGAUGGUCAUUUUAAAGUUAUAAAAGUGAUUAAGGUAAACACUUAUCAUCUAUAAGAUAUGGAAGGAAAGAAUCUCCCUCACACUUGGUACUCUGAUCAUUUAAAAUUGCAUCGUAGUUGAUGAAAAUAUAAAUCUCAAUUUAUAAAUAUUUUAUUCCAAUCAAUAUCUUUUUAUCUUCUCUUGAUAACCCCUUAGGGCAAAAGUCUCGCACCCUAUAAGGGAUUGAUACGAGAUCUUUUCUAAGUGCAAUAAUAUUAUUCUUCAAUGUUGUCCUCACCUUACAAAUUCUCUCAACAAUGCCCAAAUACAUCACACCAUAUCAUUAAGGUCUGUAUUAAGACUAACCAGACUAAAAUACUUGUGCAUACCUACAACUAAGUGUUCCUUUCCAUCCCCAACAAGGGGCAAUAACCAUAUAGCCAUGACUAAAAGACCAUAUUGCCAACCUCGCUAAUAUAAUAUAAGCAUUAGACCAAUACACCGACCAAUAAAGAUUUUAAAUGUUUUCUAAACAUGGGCGUUGGACCCAUGUAGUUUGCAAUUUGAAUAUGUUUUUAAGUAUGGGUGUUGGACUCGUACAAAGCCAACCGUUUUUUUCAAAAAACAUUUGAAGUAUAGGUAUUGGAUCCAUGAUGGUUGUUGAAAGAAAUCCCCCCUGCUUUUUACAAUUACAGGGUGUUAUACCCAUCUAGGUUAAGAUACAGACUACCUAAAGAAGUUUUCAAUUUAUCAAAAAGUUGAAUGUACUUAGCAAAAUAUAACACAAUAAUUGAAAUUACAUAUUUAAAGGCCUGUGGCUAAAUCCAAGGCGUAAAAACCUAAAUAUUCAUUAUGAAAUAAUAAAAAAGUCAUUAAAAAUUAUAAAAGCUCCUACAUAUUUAUGCCCAGCUCUUGGACAAGAUAAACUUCAUCCUUAGCUACAACAACUCUAGCAAGGAAGACAUCUUCAAAGUUAAGAACUUAACCGUUGGGAAAAAACUCGUUGAAGUCCAUUUACAUUCCCCUAGAAAAGUUAAAGAAAUACAAGUUGGAUAUAAAUAAGAAGAGUGUGUCCCAUAUGAUCUUUGUCAAAGAGAUAUACUCUCUAUACUUAACAUAAAAUUCUUGGGAGGAGUUCUUCAAUCUUUUCAUCCUCAACCGAGAAUUAUAAGCCUUUUUUUUUGUAUUUAGCUCCUCAUUUAAGGUGUCAUUGGAUUCCUUGAGCUCAAUGAUCUCUUUAUCUAAAAAGUCAAUAUAGUUACAUGCAUCAUGCCUCCCCAAGCUUUUCCUUAGUGGAUUCCAAGAUAUAAGUCUGUCUUUUUAUCUCUCUUUCAAAUUAAAUAUAGGUCGCCUUAAGAGGUUUCAGCUCAGCAUUUUGAGCAGACUUCUCCUCUCUUAGCCUAUGCACCUCUAUAAUGUUGGUGUGAUGUUGUUCAAUGGCCUUUUCUAUGGCCUUUAUCUCCUUAGCCCAUCGACUUUGCAAAUGAGCGCACAUCAUGAAGGUUUAAAUAAUAGUUUACGACAAAGUGAAUUCAAAUCCUUAUUUAACUAAGACUAGUCAAUGCAUUAGAAAAGGAAAAUUGUUUAAAGACUUUUCAUACCUGGAAGGUCAUAUGGCUAGUAAUAGCUAAGUGUCACUGGUAACUAGGGUCCUUCAACACACUAAUAUUAGAAGGAAGGAUGACAGCCUGUCCAAGGUGUCCAUCACUUCUAACCCUUCAUGUCCAAGGGUGGACCUCCCUUGCAAGAUAGCCCCUAUAAUCUUUCUUUCCUCUUCAUUGAGGUUAUGAAAGCAUAUGAGAGCAUGGUCUAGGUUUAACCUUAAGAAAAAAUCCUUCACUCUUGUGGUUUAAGGCACAUGGCUAAAAAGUUCUAUAAUCAUAAGUUAAAGUUGACACAUUGAGACCCCCCUAUAUGGGAGAUUGACUUCCCCAUACUAUUUAUUGGUGUGCAUCUAUAGUUAAAAGGGCAGCUGCUAGGGUUUCCUCAACAUCCAUAAGAGCUAUUCUCGUAAACCUCUUCUUUCAUAUCAAAUAUUGCUCGUGAAGAUAGCCUAGGGUGUCUUCAGAUGAGAAAGCACAACUGGAUGUUGGGGUGGUCACGUGACUAUGCAUAAAUGGCAUGGUCUUGUUGUCCUCAAACCUAGCUACUCUUAGUAAGGAUCAUGUACAAGGAAAAAGCCAGGAGAUGAAUAACACAUGAAACUAAAGGAACACAUUAAAUUAAAAUUACUAGAAGUGUUAUAAAGUCCCUAAUCCAUACAAUUGGUUUUGUAUUCGUUGUUAAGAUUACAUAACCUAUUACAUAUCCUCUCUUCCUCCUUGUUGAGGAAAGGUAUGUUGUUUACUCCAGCAGGGGGCACUCUCUAUAAAUGGGUACAUCUAUAAAUAACAUUGUACUCAUCCCGAGAUCUAGCUACACCCUUAUAUUUCAUUAGCACCAUUUUUUUUCACUUUUUUAAACAAGAGGACUUUUCUUAAAAGGUUUAUUUUAUAGGCCCUCUUGGCCUAUUAGGAAAAAAAACAAAGGAUAUAAGGUCCUUCUUAAUCACUGCUAAUCAACAUGUAGCAUUCUCUAAAUACCCUGACCAUGAGUUCCUCAUGAGGACCCUCAUUAGCUUGUCAAAGGCAAACAAGUCAUUUUACCCGUUAGGGUGCAGUUAAGUAUGACUCAUAUUAAAGUAAUGAAAAACAUCAUUUACAAAUCCUUGUAAGGAGAACAGGUACCCAAACUUGUUUGCGCAUAUGAGGCAGUAAUAAUAAAAUUGCCUCCAUUAGGUUACUGAUGACCUGGGUGGUAUGGUCAUCACCUCUGGUAACAGGACCGAAUGAUCCCUUGAUUAUCUCAAUUAUUUAGAGUUGGCCAGGGUUCCUUGCUCAUAGGACACUAUGUUCUCUACCUCAUCCGGAGGUGUCCUAGGUAACCUUAAUUGUCCCCUGAGGUUUGAAACCUCUUUGGGACAUGUCCUAGGUAACCUUAAUUGUCCCCUGAGGUUUGAAACCUCUUUGGGACAUUCUUAUUCCCUCUUCCAGUAGAAGAGGGUUAAGCAAUACCACUUUUAGAUCUAGGGCCUAUUUUAAUGGCCAUAGAUUCAUGGCUAGUACUUUCAAUUUCAAGUCUGAAACUGAAAUCUCCUUUAGCAGAUGAAAUUUCUUUGCAUUUUAUAGAAGUCAUUUUUAACCUAAGAUGAUUUAAAAUAAGAAAGAAAAGAUAAGGUGUGUUAUGUGUUUACCUAGAAGAUGACUCUUCUUCUGGAAAAAAAAAACACAAAGAAACUUAAUCCUACAUAAGGUUUCUAAUACAUAGAAUGCAAAGGAAAUUUUUGGCAAAAGUAAAAUUAAAAAGAAGAAGGUUUAUAUACAUCACCGCCUUCUACUCCAAGUAAUGAAUGAAGGACAUAUGGCCUCAUAUUAUAAACCUAGGAAGGAUAAACACCUAUUAUAUUGGUUGCAGGUAACUAAAUGGUCCUUUCAUAAAGAUCAUUUCACCUCCCCCUAACUGUUUUUUUAAAUACCUCUUUUUAAGGGAAGACAAGACGAACCUGACCAGUUGUCUCCCAAGAGGCUUUUCAAGUCCUUAUGCAUCAAAUGCAUAAAACACUUGGUGUGAAACUAAUGAAGUAGUCUUUUUUACUCAAUAUUUUUUAUGUUUUGAAAGAGCCCAAAUCCAUAAUAGGGUGAUAACUCAAUCAAAUAUGGGUCUGGCAAUCUGCUUAAACCGAUAUGUUUGGGUUUAGCUAUGAAAUGAGCCCAAGUCUUCAUGGGUUUAGCAAGUUGUCAGACACAAUACGCUUAGGUUCAGCCAUAAGCUGAGCCCGAGACACCAUGUGUAAAUCUUUGGAUAAAAAUCUUAUAUUGAAGUAGUAAAAAAAAUAAAUUAAAUUAAAAGGAUGAAUUAAAAUGGUAAAUAUGGUUAGAGAAAUAUUGGAGACAAUGUAUAAAUAGAAGACAUACUGGGGUCAAUGUAAAAAAAAAUAAGAGAGAAUAUGAGGGGUUAAUAUGGAAAUUAAGAAAACAUAAAUGACUAAUAUGUAAAUAAAAAAAGUAAGUGGGGGUAAGGUGCAAAUAAAGAAAGUUAUAGUUAUAAAUAAAGAAGAAUUGUCUAGAAAUCUCUAGAAAUGGCCGGCUAUAAAAAGAGAAAAGAGGGAGGAGAAAGUGAGCUAGAAAUCUUACAAAAAUCACAUUAAAAACAAAAAAAAAAGUUAGAUUAUAGAAUUAAAGGGUGUUAAGAGGAGAUUUAUACAAGAAAAAUUAAAGAACUCCAAGGGAUUCAACCUUGAUAGGGGCGGCAAAGGAGAGAAAAGUAGGGUGAAAGAAAUUUGAUUCAUCUUGGGAUUUCUUCUUUAAUUUCUUAUUUUUAGGGGGUAAUGAAUUCUCUUAAUAAGUUGUUUUAACUUGUUUUGUAUUUUUCUUGAAUUGUUAGACUAUUUGGUAGAGGUUCAUGGUUUAUGAAAUUGAAUAUGAAAUUGUGUUUUGAUGAUAUUUGAUACAUGUGAUGAAUAAAAAAAAUGAGUUAGUGGAGAUAAUUUUUAUUUUAAUGAAUGGAUUUGAUAAGGUUGAUGAGUUUAAUAUUUAUGUUAAAUGAUUAUAUAUGAAGGUAUUAUAUGUUAUUAUUGCUUAAAAUAAUGGAAAAUACAUGGGGAAACAAGUAAAAACUUGUUAAACUUAGAAAUAAAAAACUUGACAGUUUGUCUAUCUGUUUCUUCUUUAAGAUUAGGAUCCUAAGAUGAUGGAAUUUGAGAUAAUUUCAUUAAUAAAAGUUGUAUACAUUGAUGCUACCUUUUAAAAAAACAAAAAAACUAACCUUGCUUAAAUUAGAAUGAGAAAACGUUAGAUAUAAGAUAAAAACCAAAGAAGGGUCUAAACUAAAAUUAGCAUGAUAAUUUUUUUACUAUUCUAAUUUGUGAGUUUAGGCAUAUAGAUGGAAAAACUGAGUUUAGUCAUCUUCAUCAAAGUUUAUACUUAUGUUUUAGCUUUCUAUAUAAAGAAACCACUUAUAAAAUUAAGUUCUAUAAAUCCAAUUAUAAUCACAAUAUUGAACAGUGUUCUGAGUCAAUUACGUUGAACCACCUGAAAUUUAUAAAAUGUUAACUCUUGUUUGGAGUUGUUCUUGAUUAAAAAUAUUGAAUUAUUAAGGGAAUGAAAAUGUAAAGUGUGUGUAUGCAUGGACAAGGCUUGAAAUUAAUAAAGUGUACCUAUUGGUACAUGU
This 13082-nucleotide long non-coding RNA is filed under the name Populus trichocarpa (black cottonwood). RNAcentral's name for it is "long non-coding RNA (PTRI_LNC001282)". Lineage: Eukaryota; Viridiplantae; Streptophyta; Magnoliopsida; Malpighiales; Salicaceae. The record is from RNAcentral.